CCUACGGGUGGCAGCAGUGAGGAAUAUUGGUCAAUGGGCGGAAGCCUGAACCAGCCAAGUCGCGUGAGGGAUUAAGGCCCUGCGGGUCGUAAACCUCUUUUGCCGGGGAGCAGAGGUCCGGACGUGUCCGGGCCGGGAGAGUACCCGGAGAAAAAGCAUCGGCUAACUCCGUGCCAGCAGCCGCGGUAAUACGGAGGAUGCGAGCGUUAUCCGGAUUUAUUGGGUUUAAAGGGUGCGUAGGCGGAAUAUCAAGUCAGCGGUAAAAAUUCGGGGCUCAACCCCGUCGUGCCGUUGAAACUGAUGUUCUUGAGUGGGCGAGAAGUAUGCGGAAUGCGUGGUGUAGCGGUGAAAUGCAUAGAUAUCACGCAGAACUCCGAUUGCGAAGGCAGCAUACCGGCGCCCAACUGACGCUGAAGCACGAAAGCGUGGGUAUCGAACAGGAUUAGAUACCCUUGUAGUC
This 460-nucleotide ribosomal RNA is filed under the name uncultured bacterium. RNAcentral's name for it is "partial 16S ribosomal RNA". It matches the Rfam family "Bacterial small subunit ribosomal RNA", at positions 338 to 795 of the family's 1533-position model. The record is from RNAcentral.